CAGGUAGGACUGAACUUAAGCAUAU
RNAcentral lists this ribosomal RNA (25 nucleotides) under Thaxterogaster sp. H1013. RNAcentral's name for it is "partial 28S ribosomal RNA". Lineage: Eukaryota; Fungi; Basidiomycota; Agaricomycetes; Agaricales; Cortinariaceae. The record is from RNAcentral.